RNAcentral lists this non-coding RNA (631 nucleotides) under Madagascaria erythrocladioides. Lineage: Eukaryota; Rhodophyta; Compsopogonophyceae; Erythropeltidales; Erythrotrichiaceae. The record is from RNAcentral.
GAGGAAAGUCCGGGCUUAUAAUACUGUAAAUGUUGCAGGAUAAGUUCCUGUGCAAGUAAUUGUGAGGAAAGUGCCACAGAAAAAUACCGCUAUUUUAUAGUAAGGGUGCAAUGGUGUGUGUAGUUAAUAUUGAUCAUUUACAAGAUAUUGGGAUUAUUGUUUAACACUAAGAUCAAAAUUGUCAAUUGAAACAAGAAGUCGCUGCAAAUAAAAAUUGAUUCUUUUAUUCUUUUAUAAUACUCAAUAGAAUAGAAAGUGCCGUCAUUGAUUAUUUAUUGUGAUCUAAAUUGUUAAUAAAAAUCUUGUUAAAAUGUUGAAAUAUAUAAAAAAUGAAAAUCUAGAUACAAGCUUUACGAGUUUGACUAAAUUGAGCAUUGUGUAUAUAAAUAUACUUUCAAUGUUCUAGAAAGACAACAAUAUAGUUUAUUUUAUUAAGAGCAUACCAGUAGUGUUGAAAAAUAUUAGCUAGGUAAACCCCGACAAUAAGCAAAUUCAUUAAGUAAUGAUUAUUUUGCGUAUUAAAAAAAUGAUGAAUUAGUGCCUAAAGUUAUAAGCGAUUUUAACUUGAGAUAAAUAAUCACCCUUUUAUAUCUCGUGAAAUUAUGAUGUAAAAGAACAGAAUCCGGCUUAU